GCCCUACGGGACGCAGCAGUGGGGAAUAUUGGGCAAUGGGCGCAAGCCUGACCCAGCAACGCCGCGUGAAGGAAGAAGGCUUUCGGGUUGUAAACUUCUUUUCUCAGGGACGAAGAAAGUGACGGUACCUGAGGAAUAAGCCACGGCUAACUACGUGCCAGCAGCCGCGGUAAAACGUAGGGUGCAAGCGUUGUCCGGAAUUACUGGGUGUAAAGGGAGCGCAGGCGGAUUGACAAGUUGGGAGUGAAAACUACGGGCUCAACCCGUAACCUGCUUUCAAAACUGUCAGUCUUGAGUGGUGUAGA
This 305-nucleotide ribosomal RNA is filed under the name uncultured bacterium. RNAcentral describes it as "bacterial SSU rRNA". It matches the Rfam family "Bacterial small subunit ribosomal RNA", at positions 335 to 655 of the family's 1533-position model. The record is from RNAcentral.